Molecule: ribosomal RNA, 524 nt
Filed under: uncultured bacterium
Lineage: Bacteria
Description: bacterial SSU rRNA
Rfam family: Bacterial small subunit ribosomal RNA
Source: RNAcentral
AAUAGAUACCCCGGUAGUCCACGCCGUAAACGAUGGAUACUAGCUGUUGGGGGGCAACUUCAGUGGCUAAGCGAAAGUGAUAAGUAUCCCACCUGGGGAGUACGAACGCAAGUUUGAAACUCAAAGGAAUUGACGGGGGCCCGCACAAGCGGUGGAGCAUGUGGUUUAAUUCGAUGAUACGCGAGGAACCUUACCAAGGCUUAAAUGCAGACUGACCGAUUUGGAAACAGAUCUUUCGCAAGACAGUUUACAAGGUGCUGCAUGGUUGUCGUCAGCUCGUGCCGUGAGGUGUCAGGUUAAGUCCUAUAACGAGCGCAACCCCUGUUGUUAGUUGCCAGCGAGUCAUGUCGGGAACUCUAACAAGACUGCCAGUGCAAACUGUGAGGAAGGUGGGGAUGACGUCAAAUCAUCACGGCCCUUACGCCUUGGGCUACACACGUGCUACAAUGGCCGGUACAGAGAGCAGCCACUGGGCGACCAGGAGCGAAUCUAUAAAGCCGGUCACAGUUCGGAUCGGAGUCUGC